CCUACGGGUGGCAGCAGUGAGGAAUAUUGGUCAAUGGACGAGAGUCUGAACCAGCCAAGUAGCGUGAAGGAUGACUGCCCUAUGGGUUGUAAACUUCUUUUAUAUGGGAAUAAACUGUUCCACGUGUGGGCUUUUGUAUGUACCAUAUGAAUAAGGAUCGGCUAACUCCGUGCCAGCAGCCGCGGUAAUACGGAGGAUCCGAGCGUUAUCCGGAUUUAUUGGGUUUAAAGGGAGCGUAGGUGGAUUGUUAAGUCAGUUGUGAAAGUUUGCGGCUCAACCGUACAAUUGCAGUUGAAACUGGCAGUCUUGAGUACAGUAGAGGUGGGCGGAAUUCGUGGUGUAGCGGUGAAAUGCUUAGAUAUCACGAAGAACUCCGAUUGCGAAGGCAGCUCACUGGACUGCAACUGACACUGAGGCUCGAAAGUGUGGGUAUCAAACAGGAUUAGAUACCCCAGUAGUC
Molecule: ribosomal RNA, 460 nt
Filed under: uncultured bacterium
Lineage: Bacteria
Description: partial 16S ribosomal RNA
Rfam family: Bacterial small subunit ribosomal RNA
Source: RNAcentral